RNAcentral lists this ribosomal RNA (279 nucleotides) under Salmonella enterica subsp. enterica serovar Virchow. Its description in RNAcentral is "partial 16S ribosomal RNA". It matches the Rfam family "Bacterial small subunit ribosomal RNA", at positions 472 to 750 of the family's 1533-position model. The record is from RNAcentral. RNAcentral also lists the same sequence under 1 other name. Lineage: Bacteria; Pseudomonadati; Pseudomonadota; Gammaproteobacteria; Enterobacterales; Enterobacteriaceae.
ACGUUACCCGCAGAAGAAGCACCGGCUAACUCCGUGCCAGCAGCCGCGGUAAUACGGAGGGUGCAAGCGUUAAUCGGAAUUACUGGGCGUAAAGCGCACGCAGGCGGUCUGUCAAGUCGGAUGUGAAAUCCCCGGGCUCAACCUGGGAACUGCAUUCGAAACUGGCAGGCUUGAGUCUUGUAGAGGGGGGUAGAAUUCCAGGUGUAGCGGUGAAAUGCGUAGAGAUCUGGAGGAAUACCGGUGGCGAAGGCGGCCCCCUGGACAAAGACUGACGCUCAG